RNAcentral lists this long non-coding RNA (1609 nucleotides) under Marmota monax (woodchuck). The record is from RNAcentral. Lineage: Eukaryota; Metazoa; Chordata; Mammalia; Rodentia; Sciuridae.
CAGAUGGGCACCUCACUCCUUGUUUAUUGUUUUCUGUGAGUAUUUUUCCCUCUCACUAAAAAUUUAAUGUUCUUUUUUUUAAGACAAAUUUUUUAGUUGCAGAUGGACACAAUACUUUUAUUUUAUUUUUAUAUGGUGCUGAGGAUUGAACCCAGUGCCUCACAACCCCAGCCCUAUUUAAUGUUCUAUAAAAUGUUUUUUUUUUUUUUUUUGGUACUGGAAAGAGCUUGGAAACAAGAAAAAUAAUUAAGGAAAAAUUAAAUACACCGUUUAAUUUUAAGACUUUAAGUUUUUUUUUUGGUGCUGAAAAUUACCAUCCCCCUCUUUUGGUACCAGGGAUUGAACCCAGGGGUGGCACCUAGCCACAUCCCUAGCUCUUUUUUAUAUUUUAUUAGAGAUAGAGUCUCACUGAGUUGCUUAGAGCCUUGCUAAGUUGCUGAGCCUGGCUUUGAAAUUGAGAUCCUCUUGCUUCAGCCUCUUGAGCCGCUGGGAUUACAGGCAUGUGCCAUUGUGCCCUGCUAAAAAACUCUUUCUGGAUCAAUUUAUUUGACUGUUUUUAUCAGGGACUUUCUUAACAUUCCAUUGUUUAAGCUAAUAAUCUGGGUGGUUUAUUCUCCAACCCAGCCCCUUAGUUCCUAUUGCCUACCCAACUGAGAACAUGCUCUUUUCCUUCAGCCUAACACUGCACAUUCUCUCCCCGUGUCGGAAGGGCCGCCAGAGCCCCAGCUUGCUGGUUCUGUGGAGCAGUUCUGAAAAGUCCUACUUCUCAUCGUGGGUCUCUCUGAAGUCCAUUUUCCUAGUUGUGUCUUUGGUACUGACCACUCAGAAUCCACAUCACAGAGACAGUCUGGCUGUCUCUCUGUAGUCAAGUCCUCAAAGGGGUGGCUUAUGAUCGUCACGUGCUUAAGGGCUAACCUUGGGUUUGGAGGACAUGAAACUUAAUUUUGUGCGCUCACCAGAACAGUUCCAACAGCACUGUACUAAUGAACUCCUAAGGGAAUGACAGUGAGCCUGCAUGUGAGAGAUGUCUUCCCAGGGACCGGUGUCCCAUGUUCCUGCCCCAGUGCUGUUUGCCAGGGAUGCAGUCAGGACAGAGGGAGCUGGUCCCUCUGACAGCCUCAGGACCACACCUUCCCCAUGUCACUGUUCAGUCCUCAGAACACUCUCUGGCUUAGAGUUGUACUCCACGCAGAGUACCCGCUCUUGGUUACCAAAACUCCUUCAAGUUCAAAUACAAGUUCAGAUACAAUUACUUGACAGCCUUCCUUUAGGUUCAUUUUGUAUUUAACUAUAUGAAAUCGCCCUAUUUGUGGGUCAAAAGCUUUCAAUAUUGAGAACUUCACAUAGCUCAGCAUAAUAGUCUUUUAAAAAGCUCUUUUAAUUUUCAAUUACAGAUAGGCAAGCAAGAAGUUGCAAAAAUAGAAUAGAAAGUUCCCAUGAACUCAUUACCCAGCUGCUCCCAAUAGUGACAUCUUAUCUAAUAGGCUUCAUUAUUGAAAUUGGGGUGUCAAUGUUGGUGCCAAUUUACUGAUUCCCACAGGCUUAUCUGGGAUUUUACCAAAUGAAUAAUGCCCUACAUCCUGCUUACUUCCACCAGACACAAUUAACA